Molecule: ribosomal RNA, 760 nt
Filed under: Neosergipea aurata
Lineage: Eukaryota; Fungi; Ascomycota; Arthoniomycetes; Arthoniales; Roccellaceae
Description: SSU rRNA
Rfam family: Bacterial small subunit ribosomal RNA
Source: RNAcentral
AAUAGCCUAACGGCUGAACCAGCAAUUUGGAGGAACGUAUAAGAAAAAACAUGUAUACAAAGUAUACAUAUAUUUUCAGUAGUUACACUACGUAAAGUUCUAAAUAGAAGAAUGAUAAUGACAACCUUCUAUUACAGUCUUGGCAAAUUCUCGUGCCAGCAGUCGCGGUAAUACGGGUAAGACAAGUGUUAUUCAUAUUUAAAAGGUUUAAAGGGUACCUAGACGGUGUAUUUAGCCUGUAUUACAGGUACUAAUAUUACUAGAGUUUUAUGUAAGAGGUUUUUUAAGUACCUACAGAGUAGAGAUAAAAUAUUUAGAUACUGUAGGGCACUGGUAACGGCGAAGGCAUACCUCUAUGUAAAAACUGACGUUGAGGGACGAAGGCUUGGGGAGCGAUUAGGAUUAGAUACCCUAGUAGUCCAAGCAGUAAAAGAUGAAUGCCAUAGGUUAGAAUAUUUUAAUCUAUAAAUGAAAGUGUAAGCAUUCCACCUCAAGAGUAGCGUGGCAACGCCGAAACUGAAAUCAUUAGACCGUUUCUGAGACCAGUAGUGAAGUAUGUUGUUUAAUUCGUCGAUCCGCGAAUAAUCUUACCACAGCUUGAAUAUUAUAAUAACUAACUAAACAUAUAAUUAGUUUUUUAUAAUACAGGUGUUGCACGGCUGUCUUUAGUUAAUGUUGUGAGAUAUAGGUUAGCUCCGUUAAAUUGACAAAAACCCUUGCUUUAUUUUUUUAUAGAGUAGUUCGCUGGUAUAAUGGUUAA